AACAGAUUAGGGAGAUUUGCGUAUUUGGACUCUUGAAGGUUGGGACCGAGCCAUUCUUAUUAUGAGCAAGCACAAGGACUGGCUAAAGAGUUGGUGGAAUAUUCAAGAUAGGAAGAUAAGCUAGAAUUGGACAACAUCUAACUUUCAUAUCCAUACCAUCCCAAAAUUACCUCACUGGCUAGCAGGUUUUUCAAUGCAAGCUACGAAGCACAAGCUGGUGGACACUGUAGUGAUUGAUGGGAUUCAGUUGUAGUCACCCACAUUAGUGAUUUUGGUAUAAUAAAAGUACUCAAUAUCCUACAAUGUAAAAGGACUGCUGGCUGAUAUGUUGUGCA
Long non-coding RNA from Cajanus cajan (pigeon pea), 335 nucleotides. RefSeq lists it as uncharacterized. Lineage: Eukaryota; Viridiplantae; Streptophyta; Magnoliopsida; Fabales; Fabaceae. The record is from RefSeq and is a predicted model, not a curated record.